GUGAAUCAUCGAAUCUUUGAACGCAAAUUGCACUCUCUGGUAUUCCGGAGAGUAUGCCUGUUUGAGGGUCAGUUUAAAUAAAAAUCGGUGUGGUUGCUGCCUUUCGUGGUGACGCACCGGAUUUGGGUCGUCUUGCCUUCGUUUAAGUGACCUAAAAUUUUGCAUGAUUUUUUUCGAACGUAUUUAAAUGAUUUUACGUACGUUUGCGAUAUCGAAUACUAGUUGUGGUCAUCCUAUUUAUUCCCCCCUUUAUUUUUUCUUCAAAUUACCCCCAA
This 275-nucleotide unclassified non-coding RNA is filed under the name Glomeraceae sp. Its description in RNAcentral is "partial contains 5.8S ribosomal RNA and internal transcribed spacer 2". The stretch from base 1 to 71 matches the Rfam family "5.8S ribosomal RNA", at positions 84 to 154 of the family's 154-position model. The record is from RNAcentral. Lineage: Eukaryota; Fungi; Glomeromycota; Glomeromycetes; Glomerales; Glomeraceae.